RNAcentral lists this ribosomal RNA (492 nucleotides) under uncultured bacterium. Its description in RNAcentral is "partial 16S ribosomal RNA". It matches the Rfam family "Bacterial small subunit ribosomal RNA", at positions 29 to 507 of the family's 1533-position model. The record is from RNAcentral.
AGUGAACGCUGGCGGUAGGCCUUACACAUGCAAGUCGAACGGUAGCACAGUAAGGGCUUGCUCUUACGGGUGGCGGGUGGCGGACGGGUGCGGAAUACAUCGGAACCUACUUUUUCGUGGGGGAUAACGUAGGGAAACUUACGCUAAUACCGCAUACGACCUACGGGUGAAAGCAGGGGAUCUUCGGAACUUGCGCGAUUGAAUGAGCCGAUGUCGGAUUAGCUAGUUGGCGGGGUAAAGGCCCACCAAGGCGACGAUCCGUAGCUGGUCUGAGAGGAUGAUCAGCCACACUGGAACUGAGACACGGUCCAGACUCCUACGGGAGGCAGCAGUGGGGAAUAUUGGACAAUGGGCGCAAGCCUGAUCCAGCCAUGCCGCGUGGGUGAAGAAGGCCUUCGGGUUGUAAAGCCCUUUUGUUGGGAAAGAAAAGCAUCAGGUUAAUACCUCGCGUUUCUGACGGUACCCAAAGAAUAAGCACCGGCUAACUUCGUG